ACUCGAUAAUAAUUUAGCUUGACAGCAGCUAUAGCGUGUGUGUCAAACUGGGCUAGUGUUCGGCUGCCCAGACAAGGAUGUAUAACGAUGCAGCGAGGAAAGGUAGAACUUUAUAUCAUUAUUAUUAUAACGUGUCAAGUGUACGGCAUCGAGCUCGUGUGUUAAGCCAUCAAUAAUGCUGCAGGUUCGCGUCAACUCUAAUUAUAAGGCCACGAACACAGUAUAUUACUAUAUUAUAUUAUAUAUAGUUGCAUGAUGCGUGCUGUAUGGCUGGCUAUACAUUAUAGUAGAGUAUAUAAGUAUUUUAUGACGAGGUCGUGCUCUUGUCCUUAUUUUCGAUAUAACAUCAAGGUUGGUUUCUCGGCGUGCCUGAUUAAAAUUUUCGAAAAAUAUAAUCAAAUUCCCGGUUUUAUGACCGUUAAUGCGUCGUACAAGAAAUCGGGAUUAUCAUUACUUUUUACAACUCUCAUAAUAAUAAUAAAUUAUGAAGUGCCUAUACCAUAUAACUUAUAAUAUAUAGUAACUAUUAUAGUGCGUACUACGGACCUCGUGUAUAGAAAAUUAAUUUAGAUUAAACGAUAAAUUUAUCAAACUUAUACCUUAAUGUAAAAAUAUUUCAACAGCUAUGUAUACAUCAGUUUAAUGAUACAAAAAAAAAAUGUACACUCAGAAGGUAAUAAAAUACAAAUAUAAACUUUACAAACAUUAUACAAACAUAUACAUCCACACCAAUAAACAAAUUAAAAAUAUCUGUAUAGGUACAUAUACCUAUUAAAAUGGGAGAAAAUAUUAAAACAGUAUCAAUAACUUAUCAAAAUAAAAGUAAUAAUUUCAAAUAAAUAAUAUAAACAGAAAAGAUAUGUUCUUAUUAAAUAGAAUAAGAAUAUAAUAUGUCACACAAACAUCUUAAACAUUUCACGAUGACUGUCGCUGUUACAUCCUAUUCACAGCUGAGAAAUGCGUCGAACAGCAGGGACGCAUACAGGCAUAGAUGAAGAUGAUGACACAAAGUUUUAAUAGACAAAGAAGACACUUCAAUAUACACUUUAUGGCUCAUGUGGAACUCAGCUCAUCAUCAGACAUAUUUUAACAGAAUAUUUCAGCAGAUGUUAAAACGAAAAUAAUUUACCAGAUCACCUUCGUGAAGUCUUAGGACCUCAAACGGAAACAACAAAGUAUAACAGAUAUGAACAGGAGAUCCCCGUCGUUGGUUAAAAGAAACUAUAUAGGAUAGAUAACAGGAAAAGUGUCAUUUUUCCGAACACUUAUUUAUUUUAUAUAUGUAGGUAUGUAUCUACUUUUUACCUACAUAGUACACUUAAUUACAUAUGUUUAUUAACGAUUGAGAAAA
This is a long non-coding RNA of Aphis gossypii (cotton aphid), 1351 nucleotides long. RefSeq lists it as uncharacterized. The transcript has 3 exons. Lineage: Eukaryota; Metazoa; Arthropoda; Insecta; Hemiptera; Aphididae. The record is from RefSeq and is a predicted model, not a curated record.